Molecule: ribosomal RNA, 899 nt
Filed under: uncultured Verrucomicrobiota bacterium
Lineage: Bacteria; Pseudomonadati; Verrucomicrobiota
Description: bacterial SSU rRNA
Rfam family: Bacterial small subunit ribosomal RNA
Source: RNAcentral
CCAUUUCCGGCCUGUUUAGAAUGCAAGUCGCACGGGGCGGAUCAGGUAGCAAUAUUUGGUCCGUUCAGUGGCGCACGGGUGAGUAACACGUGAACAACAUGCCCUUCAGUGGGGGAUAGCCCAGGGAAACUUGGAUUAAUACCCCAUGGUCUCGCGAGAGUAAAGGUGGUCCCGCGCGAGCGGGACUGCCGCUGGAGGAUUGGUUCGCGCCCUAUCAGCUAGUUGGCGGGGUAACGGCCCACCAAGGCGACGACGGGUACCUGGUCUGAGAGGACGAUCAGGCACACUGGAACUGAGACACGGUCCAGACACCUACGGGUGGCAGCAGUCGAGAAUAAUUCACAAUGGGGGCAACCCUGAUGGUGCAACGCCGCGUGGAGGAUGACGGUCUUCGGAUUGUAAACUCCUGUCAUCCGGGAGCAAGACCUGACGGUGAAGAGCCGGCAGGGUUGAUAGUACCGGAAGAGGAAGGGACGGCUAACUUCGUGCCAGCAGCCGCGGUAAUACGAAGGUCCCGAGCGUUGUUCGGAAUCACUGGGCGUAAAGGGAGCGUAGGCGGCGUGGCAAGUCAGACGUGAAAGCCCGGGGCUCAACCCCGGAACUGCGUCCGAUACUGCCGUGCUUUGAGGGUUGGAGAGGUAGCUGGAAUUCUUGGUGUAGCAGUGAAAUGCGUGGAGAUCAAGAGGAACACUCGUGGCGAAAGCGAGCUACUGGACAACACCUGACGCUGAGGCUCGAAGGCCAGGGUAGCGAAAGGGAUUAGAUACCCCUGUAGUCCUGGCAGUAAACGGUGCACGCUUGGUGUGGGAGGACUCGACCCCUCCCGUACCGGAGCAAACGCGUUAAGCGUGCCGCCUGGGAAGUACGGUCGCAAGACUAAAACUCAAAGGAAUUGACGG